GAUGAACGCUGGCGGCGUGCUUAACACAUGCAAGUCGAACGGUGAAGGCGGAGCUUGCUCUGCUGGAUCAGUGGCGAACGGGUGAGUAACACGUGAGCAAUCUGCCCCUGACUCUGGGAUAAGCGCUGGAAACGGCGUCUAAUACUGGAUACGAGCUGCGAAGGCAUCUUCAGCAGCUGGAAAGAAUUUCGGUCAGGGAUGAGCUCGCGGCCUAUCAGCUUGUUGGUGAGGUAAUGGCUCACCAAGGCGUCGACGGGUAGCCGGCCUGGGAGGGUGACCGGCCACACUGGGACCGGGACACGGCCCAGACUCCUACGGGAGGCAGCAGUGGGGAAUAUUGCACAAUGGGCCAAAGCCUGGUGCAGCAACGCCGCGUGAGGGAAGACCGCCUUCGGGUUGUAAACCUCUUUUAGCAGGGAAGAAGCGAAAGUGACGGUACCUGCAGAAAAAGCGCCGGCUAACUACGUG
Molecule: ribosomal RNA, 468 nt
Filed under: uncultured bacterium
Lineage: Bacteria
Description: partial 16S ribosomal RNA
Rfam family: Bacterial small subunit ribosomal RNA
Source: RNAcentral